Molecule: ribosomal RNA, 497 nt
Filed under: uncultured bacterium
Lineage: Bacteria
Description: partial 16S ribosomal RNA
Rfam family: Bacterial small subunit ribosomal RNA
Source: RNAcentral
GAUGAACGCUGGCGGCGUGCCUAAUACAUGCAAGUCGAGCGAACAGACGAGGAGCUUGCUCCUCUGACGUUAGCGGCGGACGGGUGAGUAACACGUGGAUAACCUCCCUAUAAGACUGGGAUAACUUCGGGAAACCGGAGCUAAUACCGGAUAAUAUAUUGAACCGCAUGGUUCAAUAGUGAAAGACGGUUUUGCUGUCACUUAUAGAUGGAUCCGCGCCGCAUUAGCUAGUUGGUACGGUAACGGCUUACCAAGGCAACGAUGCGUAGCCGACCUGAGAGGGGGAUCGGCCACACUGGAACUGAGACACGGUCCAGACUCCUACGGGAGGCAGCAGUAGGGAAUCGUCCGCAAUGGGCGAAAGCCUGACGGAGCAACGCCGCGUGAGUGAUGAAGGUCUUCGGAUCGUAAAACUCUGUUAUUAGGGAAGAACAAAUGUGUAAGUAACUAUGCGCGUCUUGACGGUACCUAAUCAGAAAGCCACGGCUAACUACGUG